AUGGUUCUGAUCCGCUAUGGUGUCCAGUACCUCAUCGAGCACCCACCCCCACCCAACGCCGAUGGCACAUACCGUGAACUCGACGCCCAUGUCGCCCUUGCCAUGUACGCCACUCUCUCCGAUCAGAUCGUCGACCACGUGAUCGGCGCCACCACCACCUUCGAUCUCUGGACUCGGAUCCGGAACUACUUCCUCGCCAAUCGUGCGGCUCAGUACAUGAUGCUCAAUCGCCAAUACCGUAACCUCAAACAGGGCGAUCUCUCCGUCGACGAGUACACGCGCCGCAUGAAGCUGCUCACCGCGGGUCUUGCUGACAUCGACCACACGGUCACCGAGGUGGAUCUCACCACGCAGUUCCUCCAUGGCAUUGACGGUCGUCUUGACACCAUCCAGGUUGUGCUUGGCGACACGGUUCCCAUGCCCCCGUUCGAGAACGUCUUCUCGCGU
RNAcentral lists this ribosomal RNA (447 nucleotides) under Triticum aestivum (bread wheat). RNAcentral's name for it is "partial small subunit ribosomal RNA". Lineage: Eukaryota; Viridiplantae; Streptophyta; Magnoliopsida; Poales; Poaceae. The record is from RNAcentral.